RNAcentral lists this small nuclear RNA (125 nucleotides) under Mustela putorius furo (domestic ferret). Its description in RNAcentral is "U4 spliceosomal RNA". It matches the Rfam family "U4 spliceosomal RNA". Rfam says of the family: U4 small nuclear RNA (U4 snRNA) is a component of the major U2-dependent spliceosome. The structure of U4 snRNA from yeast and human has been reported. U4 snRNA presents a k-turn RNA motif in the 5p-SL related to recognition of Snu13 protein. Lineage: Eukaryota; Metazoa; Chordata; Mammalia; Carnivora; Mustelidae. The record is from Rfam by way of RNAcentral.
AGCUUUGUGCAGUGACAGUAUCACAGCCAAUGAGGUUUAACUGAGGCGCGAUUAUUGCUAAUAGAAAGACAGAGGCCAAUAGCCACAUGAAGGGUAGGAUGCUUCAAAGUAAGACUGUUACUGGU